UGGGGAAUUUUGCGCAAUGGGGGAAACCCUGACGCAGCAACGCCGCGUGAGUGAUGAAGGCUUUCGGGUCGUAAAGCUCUGUCUAGAGGGAAGAAAUGAUAUUCGGUUAAUACCCGGAUUUCUUGACGGUACCUCUGAAGGAAGCACCGGCUAACUCCGUGCCAGCAGCCGCGGUAAUACGGAGGGUGCAAGCGUUGUUCGGAUUUAUUGGGCGUAAAGCGCGUGUAGGCGGUUUGUUAAGUCUGAUGUGAAAGCCCUGGGCUCAACCUGGGAAGUGCAUUGGAAACUGGCAGACUUGAAUACGGGAGAGGGUAGUGGAAUUCCUAGUGUAGGAGUGAAAUCCGUAGAUAUUAGGAGGAACACCGGUGGCGAAGGCGGCUACCUGGACCGAUAUUGACGCUGAGACGCGAAAGCGUGGGGAGCAAACA
This 428-nucleotide ribosomal RNA is filed under the name uncultured prokaryote. Its description in RNAcentral is "bacterial SSU rRNA". It matches the Rfam family "Bacterial small subunit ribosomal RNA", at positions 355 to 774 of the family's 1533-position model. The record is from RNAcentral.